GAACAAUAUUGUUAACAAGUUGUUGAACCAUCAACAUUGUUGCAACUUGUUGACAAUCAUGUUAACAACUUGCAACAGUACUGAUGGUUGAACAACUUGUUAACAAUAUUGUUC
Paramuricea clavata is the source of this 114-nucleotide non-coding RNA. NCBI's taxonomy places the organism in Eukaryota, Metazoa, Cnidaria, Anthozoa, Malacalcyonacea, Plexauridae. The record is from the annotation of a GenBank genome assembly.